RNAcentral lists this ribosomal RNA (459 nucleotides) under uncultured bacterium. Its description in RNAcentral is "partial 16S ribosomal RNA". It matches the Rfam family "Bacterial small subunit ribosomal RNA", at positions 338 to 795 of the family's 1533-position model. The record is from RNAcentral.
CCUACGGGUGGCAGCAGUGAGGAAUAUUGGUCAAUGGCAGGAAUCCUGAACCAGCCAAGCCGCGUGAGGGACGACGGUGCCAUGCGUUGUAAACUUCUUUUGUCAAAGGACAAAAUCAGGCUCGAGAGCCUGACCGCGGGUACUUGAAGAAAAAGCAUCGGCUAACUCCGUGCCAGCAGCCGCGGUAAUACGGAGGAUGCGAGCGUUAUCCGGAUUUAUUGGGUUUAAAGGGUGCGUAGGCGGUCCGUUAAGUCAGCGGUAAAAGUCCGGGGCUCAACCCCGUCGAGCCGUUGAAACUGGCUGUCUUGAGAUGGCGAGAGGUACGCGGAAUGCGCAGUGUAGCGGUGAAAUGCUUAGAUAUCGCGCAGAACUCCGAUUGCGAAGGCAGCAUACCGGCGGCGAUCUGACGCUGAGGCACGAAAGCGUGGGUAUCGAACAGGAUUAGAUACCCUUGUAGUC